GUAGAUUAUAUUAACCAAAUUUGCCAGCACGGACUGUAUACACCUAUAUGACCAUGGUCUUGCCAACAGUAACGAGUUCGACAAGCAGCUGCACAGAAACGAGGACAAGUGGUAAGAAAUCAAAUUGCCUUGGAAAGGAAACAAUCCCCCUCUUCCCACCAUUGAAGCUGGGAGCAAGUGACGGCUAAAACAUGUGACAAGAAAAUUGGAGCAAAUUGACCAGUAGGAAAAGUAUGACGAGACCAUCCAAGAACAAUUGCAGCUCGGAAUUAUCGAAGCCGCACUAGAUAAGCUUAGGAAGUAACUAUGCAGGAAAGGAUGCUUCGGCGAGAGAAAGCAACAGCCACCUCUCAGGGGCCAGUUGUAUAAAAAAGGUGAUUAAAGUUAACUAUGAUUAAGUGGAAACGUCAUCCAAUAAGAAGCGCCUAUGUGAGAGUUAAUCACUAUUUAACUACGAAAUAGUGAUUAAAAAAAUGAUAGAGUUUUAUACAACCGGCCCCUGAACGCUAAUUGUCUUCAUACAGGGCCCCAAUACAAAACAAUCUGGUACAAAAACAGAACCCGAAGAAACAACCAACCCCAAAAGCAAAGGUUGGAUGAGAUGCACAACUAGAAAGAAAGCGUCGCUCUGAUAAGGAAUUGUCAAGUUUAAUUUCGCUUCGCAAUUUUUGACUUGGCCCAAACUAAGGCCACAUAAAAUAAAUUCCUUGAUUCUCAUCACUACACUUUGAAAAUGUCGAAGAGCCGG
This is a non-coding RNA of Paramuricea clavata, 748 nucleotides long. The record is from the annotation of a GenBank genome assembly. Lineage: Eukaryota; Metazoa; Cnidaria; Anthozoa; Malacalcyonacea; Plexauridae.